GCCUUCUUAGCUCAGUUGGUAGAGCAGCUCACUCGUAAUGAGCAGGUCGCGAGUUCGAGUCUCGUGGAAGGCUCCA
Molecule: transfer RNA, 76 nt
Filed under: Bacteroidales bacterium
Lineage: Bacteria; Pseudomonadati; Bacteroidota; Bacteroidia; Bacteroidales
Description: tRNA-Thr
Rfam family: tRNA
About the family: Transfer RNA (tRNA) molecules are approximately 80 nucleotides in length. Their secondary structure includes four short double-helical elements and three loops (D, anti-codon, and T loops). Further hydrogen bonds mediate the characteristic L-shaped molecular structure. tRNAs have two regions of fundamental functional importance: the anti-codon, which is responsible for specific mRNA codon recognition, and the 3' end, to which the tRNAs corresponding amino acid is attached (by aminoacyl-tRNA synthetases). tRNAs cope with the degeneracy of the genetic code in two manners: having more than one tRNA (with a specific anti-codon) for a particular amino acid; and 'wobble' base-pairing, i.e. permitting non-standard base-pairing at the 3rd anti-codon position.
Source: RNAcentral